This is a long non-coding RNA of Nerophis ophidion (straightnose pipefish), 242 nucleotides long. RefSeq lists it as uncharacterized. The record is from RefSeq and is a predicted model, not a curated record. Lineage: Eukaryota; Metazoa; Chordata; Actinopteri; Syngnathiformes; Syngnathidae. The transcript is spliced from 3 exons.
GGUAUACAACAAAUCCGGGACAAGACGACACUGUCGUCCCCGUCAUUGCGACAAAUGAGGAGAAAGGAAGCAACUCGGGCUACGUUAACGUCGUUUUUAAGAAGGACCAGCUUGACAUCGCCGAAGUCAACGAGGUCCAGUUUGAGGCGAAAAAUCAGAAAACCAAAGGCAGGUAUACAACAAAUCCGGGACAAGACGACGACGACGCCGUCCGCAUCAUUGCCACAAGUGAGGAGAAAGAG